Lampris incognitus (smalleye Pacific opah) is the source of this 1782-nucleotide long non-coding RNA. RefSeq lists it as uncharacterized. NCBI's taxonomy places the organism in Eukaryota, Metazoa, Chordata, Actinopteri, Lampriformes, Lampridae. The transcript has 4 exons. The record is from RefSeq and is a predicted model, not a curated record.
AGCUAUCGAGGAAAUGCCGAAGCGGUGCGCUUACGGUACCUGCAAAUCAGACAGCAGAUAUCCUAAAAGUUUGGAGGGUGGGGUCGUAUUUUGGGCUUUUCUUAAGCCUAAAACACAAGAGGAAGAAUGUCGAAUGUGGAUCAAAUAGUGUGGAAGACCUCACUCACACCUGAAUCCAUCGAGGAUAAACAAAAACACGUUUGCUCCAAGCAUUUUGUGAAUGGACAGCCUACACCUGAAUAUCCGAAUCCCAUAGCUGCUAUCCCUGCAACUAUCCAAAGGAAGGAACAUUAUGGAGGUUGCCAAAAGCCUCCAACAAAAAGAACCAGAAGUGAGGAACAGGAUGCUCCGCAAGCCUACAGCUGAAACCCUACAGAGGACACUGCUUCUCCAAACCCUGCCGAAGACACUGCUUCUCAAGCCUGUGACAGUGAUACAGAGACACAUCAUGACCCAGACAGCCAUGGAGAGGCGUUGGAGACUCUACAGGAGACACUAGCAGAACAGAAGCAGGAGAUGUUGAACCUGAAGAUGGAACUUCAAGCCAAAGACAGCCAAAUCCAGUUGCUUGGGAAGGAACUUCAUGCAUACACUACACAUGCAUUAACCCCAGAGUGUCUAAACAACAGUCAUGUACCUGAGUACUUCCGCUACUGCACUGGAUUCACCUAUGAUCAGUUCAACAGCUUAUGUGAAUUUUUCAAAGUACCCAAUGAUCCCAUCACUCCACAAACAAACAUUCCUCUCUCUUACAAAAUGCCAGACAUCGAGAUCCGAAAACUUCCCGUGCGUAGUCAGUUUUUACUCACACUAAUGAAACUAAGACAACAUUUUGACCACAAAGAUUUAGCAUUUAGAUUUCAGAUUCGUGUACAGAGUGUCAGCACACUGAUGAACUCCUGGGUAGACUACAUGUAUGACAGACUUAGCCAACUGUCCAUUUGGCCGCAUAGAGAUGUGAUUUCACAGAACAUGCCUGUUAACUUUAAAGAGGAAUUCCCAAAUACAUUUGCAAUUCUGGACUGCACAGAACUGAAGACACACAAGCCCAGCUCAUUACUGUUGCAGAGUCAAAUCUAUUCAACCUACAAGUCCUCCAACACACUGAAGUCACUAGUUGCUUGUGACCCACAAGGUGCAGUUAUGUAUGUGUCUGCUUUAUUCACUGGAUCUAUUUCAGACAAAGAGAUCUUUAAUCAGUGUAAUAUCAUAGAGCUACUGCAGGGUUGUAUUCAGUGUGGCUACCUUAAAGUUGGAGAUGGAUUAAUGACCGACAAAUGUUUUUUUGAUUGAAAAAGAAGAGGAAGAGAUUGGUCUCAGACUGAACAUUCCACCUUUUGCUUUAUCUAACCGUUAGAUGCCACAUGCAGAUGUUGAGAUAACCAAAAAAAUCGCCAAACACAAGAGUUCAUGUGGAAAGGGCAAUUACCAAAAUUAAAAAGUUUAAGAUUGUGUCUGGUAGAAUACCAAUGUCCCGACUUUCCAACAUAAAUCAGAUAUGGUACGUGGUUAACAUGCUGUCCAACUUCCAACCACACAUCAUCAAAGCCCAGUGAUCAGGAGGCGCCCUGGUGGCUAAGGGUCCCCUCCUCUCGUACCUUUCUGUCUACAAGGUAUUACUGUCCAGAUAAUACAGGUACAUGUCCAUUACAUCCUUUUUCAUGUUUCUUUGGUCAUAUUAGUCCUAUGUAAUAUUGUAUGAUACUAACCUACUUGAAAUUACUUGUACACUAUUGCCUAUGUAACGAGUGACUUUUGGAUACAAAAUAAAUACUUAUGUUG